Molecule: ribosomal RNA, 444 nt
Filed under: uncultured bacterium
Lineage: Bacteria
Description: SSU rRNA
Rfam family: Bacterial small subunit ribosomal RNA
Source: RNAcentral
AGAACGAACGCUGGCGGCAGGCUUAACACAUGCAAGUCGAGCGCCCAGCAAGGGGAGCGGCAGACGGGUGAGUAACGCGUGGGAACAUACCCUCCGGUUCGGAAUAGCUCAGGGAAACUUGGAUUAAUACCGGAUACGGCCUAGCGGCGAAAGAUUGAUCGCCGGAGGAUUGGCCCGCGUCUGAUUAGCUAGUUGGUGGGGUAAUGGCCCACCAAGGCGACGAUCAGUAGCUGGUCUGAGAGGAUGAUCAGCCACAUUGGGACUGAGACACGGCCCAAACUCCUACGGGAGGCAGCAGUGGGGAAUAUUGGACAAUGGGCGCAAGCCUGAUCCAGCCAUGCCGCGUGAGUGAUGACGGCCUUAGGGUUGUAAAGCUCUUUCGCUAGGGACGAUAAUGACGGUACCUAGACAAGAAGCCCCGGCUAACUUCGUGCCAGCAGCCGC